UUACAAACAGAAAAUGCUAUGGUUGGGUAAGAUCAGUUUAAGUCCCACAGCUCAAUCAUAUAGUCCUUCCUGUUCCCAAACAUCAACAAGAAAGUCUACCAUUUCCGAUAGAGGGAUUGACUGAGGAAAAGGCUUGUUGGUCCCCAGCAAAGUUUCGUAACUCGCAUCAAAGCUUAGUUUAGAUUCCUGAGCUGCAGUCUGCUUCUGAGGUGUUCUAUUUCCAAUCCAUUCUUGCCUAGUUUUACUCCAAAGAAUUAAACCAUGAUUUACAAAUUCAGUGUUGUUGUUUGUGGUGCUAGAACUACUGUGAGCAUCAAGGCCCUGAUUUGAAGUACUAAUUGAUGAGACACUUCGUUGUGAAGGAAAUGCACUAUUCUCCAUCUCACAAGCACUACUGCUCCAAAAGUCGUCCCUUGAACCGCGUUUCCUCAAGCGUUGACCCUGAACUUUCUGACCUUUGGAUGGCCUAUCCACUAAAAUAACAUGUGGUGGCUUUACACAGCACCCAAGACAACUUCCCAUGCAAGCGAAGAUACGUGAAAUCGACGAGGUUACUGAUCUACAAAGUAGCAUUUAACAAGUAUUACACUGUAAAAAGCAAAUGGGUAUUCGUCAAAGCAUCGAUUUGAACCUCUGGACCUCCAAUACUGAAAGGAAAUUCAUCUCUUACACUUCUCUUUCACCUUUCUCUGCAAUUCUUUGCGCUUAAGCAGUAAACAAGAACGAAAAAAAAAUCGAAAUUUUUCUCUUGGUGUUAUUAAAAAGUUUAGUAG
RNAcentral lists this unclassified non-coding RNA (773 nucleotides) under Hevea brasiliensis (rubber tree). Lineage: Eukaryota; Viridiplantae; Streptophyta; Magnoliopsida; Malpighiales; Euphorbiaceae. The record is from RNAcentral.